This 560-nucleotide ribosomal RNA is filed under the name uncultured Spirochaetota bacterium. RNAcentral's name for it is "bacterial SSU rRNA". It matches the Rfam family "Bacterial small subunit ribosomal RNA", at positions 97 to 643 of the family's 1533-position model. The record is from RNAcentral. Lineage: Bacteria; Pseudomonadati; Spirochaetota.
GGCGAACGGGUUAGUAACACGUAGGUGAUCUGUCCCCGGGUGGGGUAUAGCCCAUGGAAACAUGGGGUAAUACCGCAUGAGGUCCUGGAGCUUGAAGGCUUCUGGAUGAAAGGCGCAAUUGUGUUGCCUGGGGAUGAGCCUGCGGCUCAUUAGCUAGUUGGCGGGGUAAGGGCCCACCAAGGCGACGAUGGGUAGCCGGCCUGAGAGGGUGUACGGCCACACUGGGACUGAGACACGGCCCAGACUCCUACGGGAGGCAGCAGCUAAGAAUCUUCCGCAAUGGGGGAAACCCUGACGGAGCGACGCCGCGUGGACGAAGAAGGCCGCAAGGUUGUAAAGUCCUUUUGCAGACGAAGAAUAGGCUUAGGAGUGGAACGCCUGAGCGAUGACGUUAGUCUGCGAAUAAGCCCCGGCCAAUUACGUGCCAGCAGCCGCGGUAACACGUAUGGGGCGAGCGUUGUUCGGAAUCACUGGGCGUAAAGGGCGUGUAGGCGGUUCGAAAAGCCCGGCGUGAAGGGUGUCGGCCCAACCGACAGACGGCGCUGGGAACUGCCGGACUG